CACUAGCCUGGAGCAGUUACCAUGGCAUCAAGCGGUGGGUACUCUAUAAACUCAGCCCAGGAUGAGUAAUCGGAUGAGAACACACCCCUGCUGACAGGCAAUGGGCAGCCAACUGGACCCAAAGCAGCUCCUCAGUGCGAUGGAAUUUGGCUAUCCUCAGUACUUCGGACUUGCUGUUGUCUACGGUCUCCGAGUCAAUCUCAGCGUUGCUAUGGUAGCCAUGGUUAACAACACGUACCCUGAGUGCCUGCGACAGACAGACAGACACACCCACCGAGAGGACAGCGCCCAGCUAGCCUCCAGUGAGUUUUCCCUCCUUUAUUAUAUAUUUAAAUAUAUAUAUAUAUAAAUGAAUAAAUAAAUAAAUACAUGCAUAAAUACCUUUUAUUUUUUUUUACUUUUUUUAAAAACUGAUUUUGUGUGUGUUUGCUUGUUAGUUCAGUGUCCAAAAGCCACGCUUACGCAGUUCCAGUGCCUGCGACAGACAGACAGACACACCGAGAGGACAGCGCCCAGCUAGCCUCCAGUGAGUCAGCCCUCCCUGAACCACACCAUUGGUCAGGAAUGCCCAGCACCCAUCCCACCCAGCAUUGACAACUCCACGCAAACCCCAGAACAGCCAGAUUGGAUCCCUCAGUUUGCGCAGACAAUGGAUCCAGACUGGCCAACGCAGUACCGAGUGACGGAGGUUGGGGACAACAACUUGGUGCAGCUGGAGACCUUGGAUGGCCACCAAUUGAAGACCCAGA
Clupea harengus (Atlantic herring) is the source of this 749-nucleotide long non-coding RNA. The record is from Ensembl. NCBI's taxonomy places the organism in Eukaryota, Metazoa, Chordata, Actinopteri, Clupeiformes, Clupeidae.